RNAcentral lists this ribosomal RNA (484 nucleotides) under uncultured bacterium. Its description in RNAcentral is "partial 16S ribosomal RNA". It matches the Rfam family "Bacterial small subunit ribosomal RNA", at positions 30 to 507 of the family's 1533-position model. The record is from RNAcentral.
AUUGAACGCUGGCGGCAGGCCUAACACAUGCAAGUCGAGCGGUAGAGAGAAGCUUGCUUCUCUUGAGAGCGGCGGACGGGUGAGUAAUGCCUAGGAAUCUGCCUGGUAGUGGGGGAUAACGUUCGGAAACGGACGCUAAUACCGCAUACGUCCUACGGGAGAAAGCAGGGGACCUUCGGGCCUUGCGCUAUCAGAUGAGUCUAGGUCGGAUUAGCUAGUUGGUGGGGUAAUGGCUCACCAAGGCGACGAUCCGUAACUGGUCUGAGAGGAUGAUCAGUCACACUGGAACUGAGACACGGUCCAGACUCCUACGGGAGGCAGCAGUGGGGAAUAUUGGACAAUGGGCGAAAGCCUGAUCCAGCCAUGCCGCGUGUGUGAAGAAGGUCUUCGGAUUGUAAAGCACUUUAAGUUGGGAGGAAGGGCAGUAAAUUAAUACUUUGCUGUUUUGACGUUACCGACAGAAUAAGCACCGGCUAACCCUGUG